Molecule: ribosomal RNA, 2000 nt
Filed under: gut metagenome
Description: bacterial LSU rRNA
Rfam family: Bacterial large subunit ribosomal RNA
Source: RNAcentral
GAAAGUAAAUAAGGGCGCAUGGCGGAUGCCUUGGCUCUCGGAGGCGAUGAAGGACGUGAUAAGCUGCGAUAAGCUUCGGGUAGGUGCAAAUGACCUUUGAUCCGAAGAUUUCCGAAUGGGACAACCCGGCAUUCUGAAGGAAUGUCAUCCAACUUUGUUGGAGGCUAACGCAGGGAACUGAAACAUCUUAGUACCUGCAGGAAAAGAAAAUAAAUAAUGAUUCCCCUAGUAGUGGCGAGCGAACGGGGAUUAGCCCAAACCACCCAUGUUACGGCAUGUGUGGGGUUGUAGGACCACGCUCUCGCAAGACAGUUAUUGAGAAGAAACGACUGGAAAGUCGUGCCAUAGACGGUGAUAGCCCGGUAUUCUAAGGUAACCGAAGCGUAGUGGUAUCCUGAGUAGCGCGGAGCACGAGGAAUUCUGCGUGAAUCAGCCGGGACCAUCCGGUAAGGCUAAAUACUCCCGAGAGACCGAUAGCGAACCAGUACUGUGAAGGAAAGGUGAAAAGCACUUCGAAUAGAAGAGUGAAAUAGUCCCUGAAACCAUGCGCCUACAAGCGGUCGGAGCAGCGUAAGUUGUGACGGCGUGCCUUUUGCAUAAUGAACCUACGAGUUACUUUUUCCGGCAAGGUUAAGCAUCUUGAGAUGUGGAUCCGAAGCGAAAGCGAGUCUGAACAGGGCGGAUAGUCGGAAGGAGUAGACGCGAAACCAAGUGAUCUACCCUUGGGCAGGUUGAAGGUUAGGUAACACUAACUGGAGGACCGAACCGAUAAGCGUUGAAAAGCUUCCGGAUGACCUGAGGGUGGGGGUGAAAGGCUAAUCAAACUUGGAGAUAGCUCGUACUCCCCGAAAUGCAUUUAGGUGCAGCCUUGAGAGUUACUAAUGUGAGGUAGAGCGACUGAUAAGAUGCGAGGGCUUCACCGCCUAUCAAGUCUUGAUAAACUCCGAAUGCGCAUUAGUUCUAUCUCAGGAGUGAGGGCAUGGGUGCUAAGGUCCAUGUCCUAAAGGAGAAGAAUCCAGACCAUCAGCUAAGGUCCCCAAAUAAACACUAAGUUGAACUAACGAAGUCAGAUUGCUAAGACAGCUAGGAUGUUGGCUUGGAAGCAGCCAUUCAUUUAAAGAGUGCGUAACAGCUCACUAGUCGAGGAGUUUGGCGUGGAUAAUAAUCGGGCAUUAAGUGUUUUACCGAAGCUAUGGGAUACGUAAGUAUCGGUAGGGGAGCAUUCCACUCUGCGUUGAAGGCGAAGCGUGAGCUUUACUGGAGCGUGUGGAAAAGCAAAUGUAGGUAUAAGUAACGAUAAAGGGGGUGAGAAACCCCCUCGCCGCAAGACUAAGGUUUCCUGAUCAACGCUAAUCGGAUCAGGGUUAGUCGGGUCCUAAGGCUCAGCCGAACGGUGAGGCCGAUGGCAGAACAGGUUAAUAUUCCUGUACUACCUGUAGGAGUGAUGUGGAGACGGAGGAGUGACAACGCCGCGGACUGACGGAAUAGUCCGUUAAAGGGUGUAGAUGUUGAUUAUCCCAGGCAAAUCCGGGAUAAGAGUCGAACCUGACAGUAUACCAAUUUCCCCGGAAAACGGUAAUAGUGCGUGUAAACAUACUCCCAAGAAAAUCCGCUAAACUUAAUCUUACAGGUACCCGUACCGUAAACGGACACACGUAGUCGGGUUGAAUAUACUCAGGCGCUUGAGUGAAUCACGGUUAAGGAACUAGGCAAAUUGACCCUGUAACUUCGGGAUAAAGGGUCCCUACCCGGUGACGGGAGGGCGCAGAGAAUAGGUCCAGGCAACUGUUUAACAAAAACACAGGGCUGUGCAAAAUUGAAAGAUCACGUAUACAGCCUGACACCUGCCCGGUGCUGGAAGGUUAAGAGGAGAUGUCAUCGCAAGAGAAGCAUUGAAUUGAAGCCCCAGUAAACGGCGGCCGUAACUAUAACGGUCCUAAGGUAGCGAAAUUCCUUGUCGGGUAAGUUCCGACCUGCACGAAUGGUGUAAUGAUCUGGAC